Molecule: ribosomal RNA, 446 nt
Filed under: uncultured bacterium
Lineage: Bacteria
Description: bacterial SSU rRNA
Rfam family: Bacterial small subunit ribosomal RNA
Source: RNAcentral
AGCGAACGCUGGCGGCAGGCCUAACACAUGCAAGUCGAACGGCCCUUCGGGGUAGUGGCGGACGGGUGAGUAACGCGUGGGAAUGUGCCCUUUGGUACGGAACAACUGAGGGAAACUUCAGCUAAUACCGUAUGUGCCCUUCGGGGGAAAGAUUUAUCGCCAUUGGAGCAGCCCGCGUUGGAUUAGGUAGUUGGUGGGGUAAAGGCCUACCAAGCCUACGAUCCAUAGCUGGUCUGAGAGGAUGAUCAGCCACAUUGGGACUGAGACACGGCCCAAACUCCUACGGGAGGCAGCAGUGGGGAAUCUUGCGCAAUGGGCGAAAGCCUGACGCAGCCAUGCCGCGUGUAUGAUGAAGGUCUUAGGAUUGUAAAAUACUUUCACCGGGGGAAGAUAAUGACGGUACCCGGAGAAGAAGCCCCGGCUAACUUCGUGCCAGCAGCCGCGGU